Molecule: ribosomal RNA, 490 nt
Filed under: uncultured bacterium
Lineage: Bacteria
Description: partial 16S ribosomal RNA
Rfam family: Bacterial small subunit ribosomal RNA
Source: RNAcentral
AUUGAACGCUGGCGGCAGGCCUAACACAUGCAAGUCGAACGGUAACAGGAAGAAGCUUGCUUCUUUGCUGACGAGUGGCGGACGGGUGAGUAAUGUCUGGGAAACUGCCUGAUGGAGGGGGAUAACUACUGGAAACGGUAGCUAAUACCGCAUAACGUCGCAAGACCAAAGAGGGGGACCUUCGGGCCUCUUGCCAUCGGAUGUGCCCAGAUGGGAUUAGCUAGUAGGUGGGGUAACGGCUCACCUAGGCGACGAUCCCUAGCUGGUCUGAGAGGAUGACCCGCCACACUGGAACUGAGACACGGUCCAGACUCCUACGGGAGGCAGCAGUGGGGAAUAUUGCACAAUGGGCGCAAGCCUGAUGCAGCCAUGCCGCGUGUAUGAAGAAGGCCUUCGGGUUGUAAAGUACUUUCAGCGGGGAGGAGGGGAGUAAAGUUAAUACCUUUGCUCAUUGACGUUACCCGCAGAAGAAGCACCGGCUAACUCCGUG